RNAcentral lists this ribosomal RNA (523 nucleotides) under uncultured microorganism. Its description in RNAcentral is "bacterial SSU rRNA". It matches the Rfam family "Bacterial small subunit ribosomal RNA", at positions 9 to 514 of the family's 1533-position model. The record is from RNAcentral.
GAGUUUGAUCGGGCUCAGGAUGAACGCUGGCGGCGUGCCUAAUACAUGCAAGUCGAGCGAACGAGACGAGGAGCUUGCUCCUCUGACGUUAGCGGCGGACGGGUGAGUAACACGUGGAUAACCUACCUAUAAGACUGGGAUAACUUCGGGAAACCGGAGCUAAUACCGGAUAAUAUAUUGAACCGCAUGGUUCAAUAGUGAAAGACGGUUUUGCUGUCACUUAUAGAUGGAUCCGCGCCGCAUUAGCUAGUUGGUAAAGUAACGGCUUACCAAGGCAACGAUGCGUAGCCGACCUGAGAGGGUGAUCGGCCACACUGGAACUGAGACACGGUCCAGACUCCUACGGGAGGCAGCAGUAGGGAAUCUUCCGCAAUGGGCGAAAGCCUGACGGAGCAACCCCGCGUGAGUGAUGAAGGUCUUCGGAUCGUAAAACUCUGUUAUUAGGGAAGAACAAAUGUGUAAGUAACUAUGCACGUCUUGACGGUACCUAAUCAGAAAGCCACGGCUAACUACGUGCCAGCAG